This 253-nucleotide ribosomal RNA is filed under the name uncultured bacterium. RNAcentral describes it as "partial 16S ribosomal RNA". It matches the Rfam family "Bacterial small subunit ribosomal RNA", at positions 524 to 776 of the family's 1533-position model. The record is from RNAcentral.
UACAGAGGGGGCAAGCGUUGUUCGGAAUUACUGGGCGUAAAGGGCGCGUAGGCGGCCUUCUAAGUCGAACGUGAAAUCCCCGGGCUCAACCCGGGAACUGCGUCCGAUACUGGAAGGCUUGAAUCCGGGAGAGGGAUGUGGAAUUCCAGGUGUAGCGGUGAAAUGCGUAGAUAUCUGGAGGAACACCGGUGGCGAAGGCGGCUUCCUGGACCUGUUCUGACACUGAGGAGCGAAAGCGUGGGGAGCGAUCCGG